Molecule: ribosomal RNA, 789 nt
Filed under: Triticum aestivum (bread wheat)
Lineage: Eukaryota; Viridiplantae; Streptophyta; Magnoliopsida; Poales; Poaceae
Description: partial small subunit ribosomal RNA
Source: RNAcentral
AUGAAAGUAAUUCUGUGGAGAUUGGCUCAUAAUUGUCUCCCAACAGGUGCUCAACUUAAAGUGAGAUCGAUCCCCACAAGGUAUGAUUGUCAUUUCUGUAGUAGGGAGGAAACCGUUGAGCAUUGUUUUUUGCACUGCCAUUAUGUUAGAGAAAUCUGGAAAGAACUCAAGAAAGAAUAUGGUAUUUGCCUGAAACUGAAAAGUUUAAAUCACAUUAGGCAAUGGCUUUUAGAGUGGAUAGAAAACGCUACAGAGUUUCACUCUAUGAUUAUGGCAGUGGCAAUAUGGCACAUAUGGGAGAAUAGAAAUGCUUAUCGUAAUGGGGAGGCUUUAAAUCAUCCUCGUCGUGUGGUGGGAAAGAUCAAAGCUUAUGUUGAAUUUAUUAAUAUGCAUUCUUUCAGCUCGACCACUUCCAUUAGAUGUGAGACCUUGGAGUCGAACAAAAGAUGGUCUCCGCUGCCGGAGGGGUCAAUGCUCGUCAGUGUGGAUGCAGCGAUCUUCUCCCAAUCAGCAAGAGCGGGCUUUGGUGUGGUGAUACGUGAUCACCGGGGAAGGGUGCAGGUGGCGAACAGAGGCUACUUUGAAAGAGUUCAAAUUCCUGAAGUAGCGGAAGCCAUGGCACUUCAUCAAGCCUUAAUCCUUGCCAAUAGCACUGGUAUGAGGAAGAUCAUGGUAGCAUCUGACUGUCUAUCAUUGAUAAACAAGAUCAAGGGUUCAGGUUUUGAUAGGUCCCCUACUGGAGCCAUAGUCCAUGAUAUUAGGAAAUGCCACAAAGUUCGUAUCUUGUAG